GUUGACCUCGGAUCAGGUAGGAAUACCCGCUGAACUUAAGCAUAUCAAUAAGCGGAGGAAAAGAAACCAACAGGGAUUGCCCUAGUAACGGCGAGUGAAGCGGCAAC
This 107-nucleotide ribosomal RNA is filed under the name Hypocreales sp. KH00203. Its description in RNAcentral is "partial 28S ribosomal RNA". It matches the Rfam family "Eukaryotic large subunit ribosomal RNA", at positions 1 to 105 of the family's 3401-position model. The record is from RNAcentral. Lineage: Eukaryota; Fungi; Ascomycota; Sordariomycetes; Hypocreales.